AGUCCCUACGGGAGGCAGCAGUAGGGAAUCUUCCACAAUGGACGAAAGUCUGAUGGAGCAACGCCGCGUGAGUGAAGAAGGGUUUCGGCUCGUAAAGCUCUGUUGGUAGUGAAGAAAGAUAGAGGUAGUAACUGGCCUUUAUUUGACGAUAAUUACUUAGAAAGUCACGGCUAACUACGUGCCAGCAGCCGCGGUAAUACGUAGGGGGCAAGCGUUAUCCGGAUUUACUGGGUGUAAAGGGAGCGCAGGCGGCGCGGUA
Molecule: ribosomal RNA, 259 nt
Filed under: uncultured bacterium
Lineage: Bacteria
Description: partial 16S ribosomal RNA
Rfam family: Bacterial small subunit ribosomal RNA
Source: RNAcentral